CCAGUUUCAGCUUAAAACGGGCAAACUCAGCGUGAAACGCCAUUUGUAUUGAGGUUCUUUGAUGAAGCAGGUGUGGGGAGACAUGAUGGGGUUGAUUCAUGUUGCUGUGGUUGUGCUCGGUCUUCUCUCUGUCGGACAAUCUGCUCCUGUGACCGACUGUGAGAGUCUGAUCCAACCUAUUGAAAUCCAAGGGAGAGACGAGCUGCUGGGCAAAUGGACAAUCUUAGCAGAAGCCACCAACAUAUCUGGAUCCAAAUAUAUUACAAAGAUGUUCGUGGAUAAUGCCUGGGCGAGACUUAGUGCUGCUAAUGAGAGUGAUACCAUCGACACUUUUCAAUAUCAAAAAAUAGCAACCUUUCAAUUCUUCUGCACGGCUCCUGAGUACUGGCUGCCCUGACUGCCUGGUUUUCUCCGCACAAUAUUUCUCUGGAGAGAGCACAUAUAGCGCACUCCAGCUCAUAAGCAGGAGGACCAAGGUGAGUUCUGAUGAGCUGGAAGAGUUUAAGAAGCAGGUUGAGUGUCUGAACUUGCCACCAGCUGCGAUCCUGAACAAAGGAGAAGGUCUCUGCCCAGAGGAGUCUCCAGAGCACAUUGAUCUAACAAAUACCAUGAACCACAUGAACCCUGAAAUUAUCUCCCUAGUUGACAAAAUUCUAGGAAGUAAAGGUGGCUUGGACGUGCUUACACAACUAAUAUCAGUUGGAUUGGAAAGCUUGAAAGAAAACUAACGCUGUCAAAACUAUCGCGACAUGGCUACUUAAUUAGAGGCCAAUUCUGACUCAUGAGACUCCUGAUAAUAGUCAUGACUAUAAUAAAUAUCAAUGGGACUUUUACAUUUUGUUUUGUCUAGCAUCAAACAAAUCCAGAUUUUUUAAUUUGUCUGUGUGGAAAUUUAGAUUUGACAAAAACAUUUGUGAAAUGGAAAUGGUGCGGUUACUGGAAGAACUAGAAACAGAAUAAAGAUUAUUACCAGACAGACCGCUGUUUCAAGGCGCGAUAUCUACGACCCUGUGACGUUUCGCCUUCAAAACAAAUGCUGCAGAGGCGCUCGGUCCCCCCUUCUGUGCAGCCUUCAGAGGUAGUUACAGAGGCGUUUCAAGGGCGAGAUGGGAUCAGCUCAGUCAGCGGGGGAGCACAGUGCUGUGUGUGUGCAUGUCUGACUGUGUGUGUAUGUGGAGCUCCCUCUUUCCUGUGCUUUCUCGUGCUAUCUCAAUGUUGUAAAGCAAUAUGAAUUCACUAACUGGGACACCAAUACUGCACCGCUGCGGAAUCAAUAAGAAUAUCUGAAGGUGUAACGAUGGCACAGCUUAGGUCAGGCGCUGUUUCCGAAUUGAACUCUGAAAAGGGCUAAAAGUGAUUAGCUUUCUUCUGUACUCGUAAUCUUUUUUGAGAAGUCUUUCAAAUAAGUAUUUUUACUUUUACUUUAGUUCACUUCACUGCAUUUUAAAAAGCAUAUGUUACUGAUAAAAAAAAAAUCUAACUUUGAGUAAACUUCUUGAAUCUGGCCAGUUGAUUGGCUUAAUCAUAGCCUAGCUCAUACAAAGAUGGAGAAGGACAGGUCACACCAAAACAUGGACCUGGAGCUGAAAUCCCUGAUGAUGUCGAAGAUGAACAAGAAGAAAUUAAAGUGAAUCCCACCUGGCCACAUUUAAGCAGCCAUGUUUUUCCUUACUGGUAUUUCUACUGCGUCAACAAUCCAGCUGUUUGUCACACUUGAAAUAAAACAUUUUACUUGAAUUUAACUGAACUAAAUUUAACUCUACAACAUUCUUACUCUUUUCUCCGCUGGCUGCCAAGUAUUUUUCACACAUACAAGUCAUUUUUCUUUGUGUUUAUGGUGCAAAAAGCAAAGAACAUGACGGU
Labrus mixtus (cuckoo wrasse) is the source of this 1863-nucleotide long non-coding RNA. RefSeq lists it as uncharacterized. The transcript is spliced from 5 exons. NCBI's taxonomy places the organism in Eukaryota, Metazoa, Chordata, Actinopteri, Labriformes, Labridae. The record is from RefSeq and is a predicted model, not a curated record.